ACUGCCGGUCCGGCUUCAAUUCCGUAGUGCAUUGCAGUGUAGGACCUGUUCCAAAGACCAACUGCAAGCAUUGUGGGAGUGAAGCCGUGCUCUGCAAGAACCUA
This 104-nucleotide microRNA precursor is filed under the name Anopheles farauti. Its description in RNAcentral is "microRNA mir-932". The stretch from base 9 to 91 matches the Rfam family "mir-932 microRNA precursor family". The record is from RNAcentral. Lineage: Eukaryota; Metazoa; Arthropoda; Insecta; Diptera; Culicidae.